CGUAGCAAUGGCGACUGAGGCUUGUGGGUAUCACAGUAUCAAACUAAAUAACGAAUCUCAGCGCUGACUUCACACUUUGGGGUGAUGGGACUGAUUCGUUAUUAGCCACUGAUGCAGGACACCUGGGACAGGCCAGGGCAGUAAAUCUGGAUGAAUGGUCAAUGCAAGUGAAGCGUAGGAUCCAGGGGGAAGGGCCGAGGCUGAGCUGAAGGACGAAACCGGUGACAACAUGGCAGAGGGCACGGCGGGCAUCCUGGUGCGGGCGGUGGCCGUGGCCGCCGCGUUGACGUCUACAUCGCUACGAGAGCGCUGGAGGGAACCUGGGGAGGAAGCUGCAGCGGGCGUCCUGGUGUGGGCAGCUUUGGCUGCAGGAGGUUUCAGCAGAGAGGAUCGACAUGUGAUGGAGAGGAAGACGCGUCUCACCUGAGGCUCUCCUGGGAGGACGAGGAGGAGCGAUCCGAGGCGGGCAGCGACAUCUGGCUGUCUCCGCUCCUCAGGUGAGCCUGCAGAGCUUUCUGAUAGGACGACUCCAGGCCCUGGAACAGCUGCUCCGCCUCCCGACGGAAGUGACCGUGGAAACUCCAGUAACACCUGACAGAAGAAGUCAGAGGCCAUUUGUGUUUAUAUAGGCUCCUACAUGAUAUGAGGUACAUAACGUACUGGCUCCGUAGGAUGCCGUAUGGAUGGGCGUGACUUACGUUCUGGCCACAGAGCGAGCCUCGGCGUCUGCAUCGUGGAUCCCUUUCUUUAUCAUCUCAGUUAAAACUGUUCCAUGUCUACGAGAAGGGGAAAAAGAAGAAAAAUGUUGAUUUAGCAGUGGUUUGUUUGACGUGACAGAGAGGAAUACACAUAAAAACCAGAGGUCUGUAAUGCAGAGCAGCUCGGUGAAUUAUUAAUGUCGUCACGUAAUGUGAUGCUUUACUUGAUUCCGGUGGGGAAAUCCUCUUUUCCCUUCCAACUCGGACGCCUCACGUCAGCUAGAAUCUGUCUUUCAAGGUAAUUAAACCCACAUUUAGUGGAUAAAGUGUUAUAUUAUAUACUCAAACCACUAAAUCUGCACUCACGCGACUGUCUUAAGAUGUCCAAUGAUGUGAAAGUGUUUAACUUGUGAAUCUUUCUCUAGCCUCCAAUGAUGUGAACACAGGAUAAACUCUGGUACCAACCUUUGAACUCAUGUAUGAGUCAGAGGAGCCAUCUGCUCUGCUGUCUCCAUUAGCUCAACUAUCACUUUGGGCUUUUACAGCUCCAUCAGUCAAUAUUUUGGGAUGCCCGUGUCGCUCUGUUUCUGCAGUUUGGGGAACUUAACGAGCUGAUAUUGUGGAUUUUAAAGCUCAUCGUUUUUAUUACGGCUCAUUUCAGAUGUUUUGAUACACGAAU
Molecule: long non-coding RNA, 1377 nt
Organism: Micropterus dolomieu (smallmouth bass)
Lineage: Eukaryota; Metazoa; Chordata; Actinopteri; Centrarchiformes; Centrarchidae
Exons: 3
Source: RefSeq, a predicted model, not a curated record